UGUCUGCGGUUCCGGGAGAAUGGAAAAAGUGUACCAGCACAUCGUGUUUUGCAUAGCUUGUUUUCAGCACAAGUAUACCAGUGUCCAAUAUUUCAUGGCAGGGGAAUGGCUCCAAUCAAUAUCUCUCUAGUCAUCAUUCUUCUAUGUUUGUUUCAAAAUUCAAUCGUGGAAACUAAAAACGUGUGCACGAAAUGGUGGAAAAACGACAAGUUGGCCAACGAUAAUUGCUUCACUAGUUGCGCAGACAAGUAUGGUCGGCCGACCUCAAGGGGAAAAUUGCCCAGCGGGAUGGGAUUACUCAUCGUUCAGCCUCCGUUCGCGAAAGGCCGCUGUGUCUCAAAGAAGUGCGUCUGUUAUGUCAACACUCCGUACAGGAAACUCCUAUCAGUGAAGGACAAAGCUAGGGCCUGGUGUAUUUUCACAAAGUUUGCAAAAAGGUCUUCAAGAAACUUCAAACAAAAUUUGCGAAGGAUCCAACUCUAAGCGCGUAUAACCAUUUAGUUCCAGGGUUCGUGGGGCGCUGACAAUUCCUUGAAUGUACUUCCAGUUUAUCUUCGACUUUCAAGUCCUUGAAUAUUUACAAAUUUCGGAAAACCUAUUGAAGCCACUCGAAAGUCCCCGGAUUAUUCUGGCGUGCUAAGGAAGAACAUCGCAUGAGCCGUCAGACGUUGCCAAAUUUCCACCGAUAAAAUACGAAUUUUCACGGAAACUGUUUUCAGACAAUUUUGUACACACUUUAGGCUAAAAUAUCUCAAAAUUUCAAGGAAAACUAUGCGCAACUUUCCUGACAAAUGCAUUAUUUAUCCGGAGAAAUUUGGCAACUCUCGAAUGAACAUACGGCGUUCUUCCAUAGCACGGCAGUAUUGUCAUCGGAUGUUUCCGUUCUCGUCGUUUGCAAGACUGGUCUCUCACGUUGUUCAUUUUUCCUAGGUUCUCUUUGCGUGUCCAUGCAGAUAUCAGAGCGCACUGCUGUAAUAUAUGGAGGGAAUCUCAAUUUAUAAGGCAGUAUUCGGGGUCUUUAAAAGUUUUUGCAAGAUUUUGAAAGUCUGAAAUAUCAAUUUGAGCCCCUUCUAACGUCCUUGACUAUGAUGAAUCCUGAAUCCACAGUGCCACGUCAUGUUUGGGGAGGACUUUUGCCGCGCGAAAUGCCAAUUUUUUUCUGUUGACUAAAAGUAAAAAAAGUAAUCAAAACCACAGAGAGAAAUGAAGGAGAGGAGAGCUUUAUACACGUGUGCCGCCUUUCCAUUGUCCAUUAUUGAAACUAUUUUGGUCAAAUUUUGAUCUUUUUUAAACCCUACUAUUCGAUCAAGGACCCUCUUAAAAAAAAAGUAGCAGGACCUAUUAUGCAUUUUAAUUUUGAUACUUUGAAAAUUUGGAACACUGGAAUAGUAUCAAGGGCGCAGCAUCCGUAUGUGAACGCGAUUUGAUGGCACUGACUUGUUUUAUUCCUUUUCCCCCGGAGACUCAGUUGUAGUGGGUUUUCCAUCUCGGUCAUAAUGAAGAAAAUUCUGAGAGCGGAUUCACUUUGAUUUCCUAGUGAAAGUGAAAGAAGAGACCGCAUUUUGUAACGUUAUAGUAGGUCAGACCGCGUCUCCAAACGACGUUAAAGAUCAAUCUCAGUUGAGCAACUAUUCGAACGCCAGUGCGAGCACAUUGCAUAGACGGCGGAUUGAAGGAGCAUCAUUGGGACGGAUAUAACCGAAUUCACAACGCAAGAAACUCACGAGAAGCCAGACAGCGCUGCGCUGCGCGUCAGCAAUCACUGAAACCCCAAAGUGUGUAUUAGUCGUGCAAAUUAUUUCUAUUAUAAGCCAUAAAAUAUGAAAAAAUAUAUAAUUUUUGUUACUAGUCAAAAUUUUAAUCAAAUUAAUGCUACAGAAUUUACUUUGUAUCUAGUAAUUCUUAUCACAAGAAUUCACGUUUUUUGCUCAUAAAUAUUAAGACUUGCAAGCUUUUGCGAAUAUUAUGUUCCCCUCC
Molecule: long non-coding RNA, 1977 nt
Filed under: Bemisia tabaci
Lineage: Eukaryota; Metazoa; Arthropoda; Insecta; Hemiptera; Aleyrodidae
Description: lncRNA ENSSWEETPG012526
Source: RNAcentral